GAUGAACGCUGGCGGCGUGCCUAAUACAUGCAAGUCGAGCGAACAGAUGAGGAGCUUGCUCCUCUGACGUUAGCGGCGGACGGGUGAGUAACACGUGGAUAACCUACCUAUAAGACUGGGAUAACUUCGGGAAACCGGAGCUAAUACCGGAUAAUAUAUUGAACCGCAUGGUUCAAUAGUGAAAGACGGUUUUGCUGUCACUUAUAGAUGGAUCCGCGCCGCAUUAGCUAGUUGGUAAGGUAACGGCUUACCAAGGCAACGAUGCGUAGCCGACCUGAGAGGCUGAUCGCCCCCACUGGAACUGAGACACGGUCCAGACUCCUACGGGAGCCAGCAGUAGGUAAUCUUCCGCAAUGGGCGAAAGCCUGACGGAUCAACGCCGCGUGAGUGAUGAAGGUCUUCGGAUCGUAAAACUCUGUUAUUAGGGAAGAACAAAUGUGUAAGUAACUAUGCACGUCUUGACGGUACCUAAUCAGAAAGCCACGGCUAACUACGUG
Molecule: ribosomal RNA, 497 nt
Filed under: uncultured bacterium
Lineage: Bacteria
Description: partial 16S ribosomal RNA
Rfam family: Bacterial small subunit ribosomal RNA
Source: RNAcentral